Myotis daubentonii (Daubenton's bat) is the source of this 1037-nucleotide long non-coding RNA. RefSeq lists it as uncharacterized. The record is from RefSeq and is a predicted model, not a curated record. Lineage: Eukaryota; Metazoa; Chordata; Mammalia; Chiroptera; Vespertilionidae.
CCCGCCCCCUCGGGCUGCUGUCGCUCCACCCCAGCCACCCACCAGCCCCGGCGCAAAAUGUCACCUAGGGAGAGCAUCCAGACGUUCACGUUGCAGAGGCUACUACGUCAUCUAUCCAACUUGUCGAAAAGUCUGGCGGUGUCCUCAGCCUAGGUCUUGCCACAACUCCUUUCCCCGUCCUUUGCGAAUGACAAGGAAGGAAUUAGAACCCGUUUCUAAAUGUCGGCGUCCGGGGACGUGCGCCGCGAUAGGUGCGCGCCCCCUUCGCGCUCUCGGCGCAUCUCUGUGCACAUCCCAAAGGGCUGGAGUGGUGAAAGGUGUCCUUGCGAGGAGUCGGUGAUGUGAUGCUGAGAUUAGGAAACUGUCGUGGCCAACCGGGUUGUUUUUCGUGCACCCCGCCCCCCAGUCAUUAGGAAUCUUCCUUAAAACCGAACAGACACCGUUUCGAACCACUAGAUGGCGUGAAGGGAGGGAAGUUAAAUCUAUCCCUAAGGUUUGGAUGCUUUAGAAAGGUGAAGGAUCAAAAAUGAAGGGAGCCUGCAGGGAAUCAGCUCACAGAAAUAUCCUCAAAUCCCCGACUCCCCACCCAUUUUUCUAGCAAUUAGAUCUAUUACUCAGGCUCGAGUCUGCAUUUUGAUGAAAAUGGAAUGAGAUGUGGAAAGUUUCUUGUGGAAAUGCCUUUGAAAAUUAAAUGUAGAUGACUGAAUAAUUUUAAUUAUUGUUAUAAUAAAGGCCUUUGGAAAUUUUGAUUAAGAAAAGAUGUCUAAUUUCUACCUGAAAAUUACCUCUUCAAGACUUGUUGACUGUACUUGGUGGAUAAACUAAGUGGACUGAAAUGUAUAAUCUUGAAUUGAAUUGACUUCCAAGCCCUGGAGAUAAUAGAGACAGAAUCCCGCAGAUGAUGAAGAUUAUGUGCAUAGAAUCCAGCAGAACAUUCUAUAUGUUUCCCUUGCCCAGGGAUUUCUCUUCUUCUUUCUGGAGUUCUCAUUUUGUACACCCUGCUUGGUUGGUAGAAAAUAAAUUCGGCAAGAUCAAAA